GACGAACGCUGGCGGCGUGCUUAACACAUGCAAGUCGAACGGGCCCGCUCUCUUUUUUGGGGGUGGGUUGAGUGGCGAACGGGUGAGUAUCACGUGAGUAACCUGCCCCCUGCUCCUGGAUAACUGCUUGAAAGGGCGGCUAAUACGGGGUGUGCCGGCUGGUCCGCAUGGGCCUGGUCGGGAUAGUUUCAUCUUCGGGUGUUUCGGUGGGGGAUGGGCUCGCGGCCUAUCAGCUUGUUGGUGGGGUGAUGGCCCACCAAGGCGGUGACGGGUAGCCGGCCUGAGAGGGUGGGCGGCCACACUGGGACUGAGACACGGCCCAGACUCCUGCGGGAGGCAGCAGUGGGGGGUAUUGCACAAUGGGCGGAAGCCUGAUGCAGCGACGGCGCGUGAGGGAUGGAGGCCUUCGGGUUGUGAACCUCUUUCUCCGGUGGUGAAGGCCCUGUCCGUUGCGGCGGGGUUGACGGUAGCCGGGGAUGAAGCGCCGGCUAACUACGUG
Molecule: ribosomal RNA, 499 nt
Filed under: uncultured bacterium
Lineage: Bacteria
Description: partial 16S ribosomal RNA
Rfam family: Bacterial small subunit ribosomal RNA
Source: RNAcentral